CAAGCCCUGGAAACGGGGUCUAAUACCGGAUGGGACUGCCGGCCGCAUGGUCUGGUGGUGGAAAGCGUUUAGUGGUGCAGGAUGAGCCCGCGGCCUAUCAGCUUGUUGGUGGGGUGAGUGCCUACCAAGGCGACGACGGGUAGCCGGCCUGAGAGGGCGACCGGCCACACUGGGACUGAGACACGGCCCAGACUCCUACGGGAGGCAGCAGUGGGGAAUAUUGCACAAUGGGCGGAAGCCUGAUGCAGCGACGCCGCGUGAGGGAUGACGGCCUUCGGGUUGUAAACCUCUUUCAGCAGGGAAGAAGCCGCAAGUGACGGUACCUGCAGAAGAAGCACCGGCUAACUACGUGCCAGCAGCCGCGGUAAUACGUAGGGUGCGAGCGUUGUCCGGAAUUAUUGGGCGUAAAGAGCUCGUAGGCGGCGUGUCACGUCGGAUGUGAAAGCCCGGGGCUUAACUCCGGGUUUGCAUUCGAUACGGGCAGGCUAGAGUUCGGUAGGGGAGAUCGGAAUUCCUGGUG
Molecule: ribosomal RNA, 520 nt
Filed under: uncultured Streptomyces sp.
Lineage: Bacteria; Bacillati; Actinomycetota; Actinomycetes; Kitasatosporales; Streptomycetaceae
Description: bacterial SSU rRNA
Rfam family: Bacterial small subunit ribosomal RNA
Source: RNAcentral